This 245-nucleotide ribosomal RNA is filed under the name uncultured bacterium. Its description in RNAcentral is "partial 16S ribosomal RNA". It matches the Rfam family "Bacterial small subunit ribosomal RNA", at positions 29 to 261 of the family's 1533-position model. The record is from RNAcentral.
AACGAACGCUGGCGGCGUGCCUAACACAUGCAAGUCGAGCGCGAAAAGGGCAACCCUGAGUAGAGCGGCGCACGGGUGCGUAACACGUGGGUAAUCUGCCUCAAAGUUUGGGAUAACCUUCCGAAAGGUUGGCUAAUACCGGAUAAGCUCACGAGGUCUUCGGACUUUGUGGGAAAAGGUGGCCUCUGUUACAAGCCAUCACUUUGAGAUGAGCCCGCGGCCCAUCAGCUAGUUGGCGGGGUAAC